CAUCACAAUUAAGCGUGAGGGGUCAGGAAGGGUGGUCAGGAACCUUGUGGAAAGCUCUGGAAGCGGCUCUGAGCGGGAAGAUAAUAAAUCAUUUUAAGUAGGACUUGUACGUACGAAUAUUGACGAAAACUAUGAUUUUUUUUAAAGCUCACAUCUCUGUGGCUUUCCUUAGCCGUGUUAUUACGCCUUCAAUCGCAUAUUCCACCGAAUGCGUCCAGUUUUCCGCCAACAGAUCAUUAAAAACAAUAUCUAACAGCUGCUACAGUAGAGGAGCAGCACCUCUGCGGCGGCGGGGCGUGUAAAACAGUUUGAUACGGGAGCGCACUACCCUGUUACAUCUCCGUCGGAGGCCUACAUACAGCGACAGUGGCAAACAACCCGCUCCCCACCUGCCCCCGCUCGCACCCACGCCAUCAGGACUCCCCCGUGCGUCUCAGGUCUGUCCCGGCAGCGAGUGAGCGAGCGAGCGUGGGGUUCUGGGACACGGAGUCCAGCGGGCGUGCCGCGUGGAGCCGGGAGACGCCGAAGGCGGGGCUCUCACGCCAGGUCACAUCGCCCUCGGGCCCCUGGACCGCGCGUCUAAACCCGGGGCGAGUCAGGGGAUUUCACAUACAGUGACUGGGAAUAGAAGAAGAAAAACAACUUUUUCUUUCUCUUCCUCCCAGACGACCAGUAAGACAACGGAACAUGACGUAAAAAUUGGACAUUGGAUGAAGGAACAAACGAUAACGAGCGAUAAAACGGCGCUUUUAAAGGAGAGCUGCCGUUACGUGACCAGCCAAUGGGAGUGCAGGGUGCAUCUGUUCUUCACUCCGCAGUACAGUGAGUGCACCCGGAAAUAGCGCCCCCUGGCUGCCUUCACGCAGAGCACUGCGCGUUAGCAUUCUUAUCAUCCGGCGGUCUCAUAACCGUCGGCGUGUAAAGACGAGUCUAGAUGGCGGUAAAUCUCGGCUUGGAACACAGGCAUCGAAACCCAGCCAAUAUACCUCUGUGUUUACGUGGAGAGGGAGAAAACAUCACAAAUCAUAAAUCUUUUUUGCAAGCAUGCAGCCAACUAUUCGCUUAAAGCUCUGGCAAAUCUCUCUUGAAUAUACCCACGCACAUUUCCACUUCUUUUUUUGGAAAUGUACAAAAACUUGGGCCUCACUCGGGCCCUUGCAUCAGUCAGUAGGACAGGCGUAAGACUAAAGUUUAUUUCAAAAUUUUAUAAGCAAAACUAUUGCUGGCCAUAUUCUCAGUGAAAGAUUUGUUAAACUAAAUCUACAGACUGAGGGGAUUUGAAAAGAUGAAAGGACAGAUCAUUCUAUU
Long non-coding RNA from Anguilla rostrata (American eel), 1308 nucleotides. RefSeq lists it as uncharacterized. NCBI's taxonomy places the organism in Eukaryota, Metazoa, Chordata, Actinopteri, Anguilliformes, Anguillidae. The record is from RefSeq and is a predicted model, not a curated record. The transcript is spliced from 4 exons.